RNAcentral lists this ribosomal RNA (502 nucleotides) under uncultured Glomeromycotina. RNAcentral describes it as "partial small subunit ribosomal RNA". It matches the Rfam family "Eukaryotic small subunit ribosomal RNA", at positions 591 to 1092 of the family's 1831-position model. The record is from RNAcentral. Lineage: Eukaryota; Fungi; Glomeromycota.
CCAAUAGCGUAUAUUAAAGUUGUUGCGGUUAAAAAGCUCGUAGUUGAAUUUCGGGAUUUAUCCGUUGGUCGGGCUUUUGGGUCUGUACUGGCGUGAUGGAUUUCUACCUUCUGAAUAACCGGCAUGUCAUUAAUUUGGUGCGCCGGGGAAGCAGGACUGUUACCUUGAAAAAAUUAGAGUGCUUAAAGCAGGCUAUUGCCUGAAUACAUUAGCAUGGAAUAAUGAAAUAGGACGGCAUGGGUCUAUUUUGUUGGUUUCUAGGAUCACCGUAAUGAUUAAUAGGGAUAGUUGGGGGCAUUAGUAUUCAAUUGUCAGAGGUGAAAUUCUUGGAUUUAUUGAAGACUAACUUCUGCGAAAGCAUUUGCCAAGGAUGUUUUCAUUAAUCAAGAACGAAAGUUAGGGGAUCGAAGACGAUCAGAUACCGUCGUAGUCUCAACCAUAAACUAUGCCGACUAGGGAUCGGACGAUGUUAAUUUUUUAAUGACUCGUUCGGCGCCUUACG